GGGGGGGGGGUAAAUUUUUCUCAUUUCAGAUUUCAUAAAAAAAAGAAAAUUUCUUCAAACAUUUUUUUGAGAGGAUUAAUAUUCAACAGCAUAGUGAAUUGCUCAAAGGCAAAAAAAAUAUUUUAAGUUCAUUAGACCACAUUCAUUCUGUGUCAGAAACCUAUGCUGUGUCAACUAUUUAAUCACAAUCCAAAUUUAGAGCUGAAUCCAACUUGAAUGUUGUGUCCAUACUUGCCCCAACCGUUCAGGGUUCAACCUCUGCGGUCGUAUAAAGCUGUGCCCUGAGGAGC
This 290-nucleotide long non-coding RNA is filed under the name Mytilus galloprovincialis (Mediterranean mussel). Lineage: Eukaryota; Metazoa; Mollusca; Bivalvia; Mytilida; Mytilidae. The record is from RNAcentral.